This 497-nucleotide ribosomal RNA is filed under the name uncultured bacterium. RNAcentral describes it as "partial 16S ribosomal RNA". It matches the Rfam family "Bacterial small subunit ribosomal RNA", at positions 29 to 507 of the family's 1533-position model. The record is from RNAcentral.
UAUUAACUCUGGCGGCGUGCCUAAUACAUGCAAGUCGAGCGAACGGACGAGAAGCUUGCUUCUCUGAUGUUAGCGGCGGACGGGUGAGUAACACGUGGAUAACCUACCUAUAAGACUGGGAUAACUUCGGGAAACCGUAGCUAAUACCGGAUAAUAUUUUGAACCGCAUGGUUCAAAAGUGAAAGACGGUCUUGCUGUCACUUAUAGAUGGAUCCGCGCUGCAUUAGCUAGUUGGUAAGGUAACGGCUUACCAAGGCAACGAUGCAUAGCCGACCUGAGAGGGUGAUCGGCCACACUGGAACUGAGACACGGUCCAGACUCCUACGGGAGGCAGCAGUAGGGAAUCUUCCGCAAUGGGCGAAAGCCUGACGGAGCAACGCCGCGUGAGUGAUGAAGGUCUUCGGAUCGUAAAACUCUGUUAUUAGGGAAGAACAUAUGUGUAAGUAACUGUGCACAUCUUGACGGUACCUAAUCAGAAAGCCACGGCUAACUACGUG